GUCGCUCUCCAGCGCUCCUUGCCGCCCGCGCCUCGGCUUCACCGGCCUCGCCCCAAACUUAAAAACACCUGAGCAGGAGGUUGAACGAUUCCCUCGGAAUCUCUCCUCUUCACUAACCCAGCGAACCACCCCAAAUGCCCCUAUCCUCCCCCAAAUAAAAUCCGCAGAGCAAUUAACAAAGAUACUCGGCCAAGCCCCGGUUUCCUCAUCUGUCCCUGCCCCCUCGAACUUUCUGUGCUUCCCCAGUCUCGACCAGGGACAAACUGUGUUGAAGCUCAAUGACUUUCUGGCAGAAGUGAACCUCCAGCUUCGUUUUCUGACAGCCGUGGUUCUUCACAGGCCUGGUUUCCCACUCCGGACCCUCCACUGCCCCUGGUGGCGGCCACCAUCUUACCCCCAGCUCCAGGGUCGCGCUGAGGACGCGGCCAGCCCCCAGCCGCCGUAGUUUUGAACUACAUUUCCCACCAGCCCUUUCUCAACAUCGCGAGAGUUCCGGAGAGAUUGCCGAGAAGACUUGCGCGCAGGGGCGGUCUCGCGUUCUUUUCGAGGUCGGCCGCGUGGCUGGAAGACAUGGCCACUCCAGUCGGUGUUGAGCACGGCGAGCAGUCUCAGGCCUUUAGUGAUGAUGGUAAGGCUGCCUGGGUGGGAAAACGGGGUCUUCCUUGACACGACACUAACAUACUUGGCUUCCCUUCCUCAGAGACGAAGUGGUGACGAUAAUCUCGGUUUCUCCCUCAUAGGGUGGUUAGGAGGGUUAAAAGUACUGGAUGAGAAAAUGCUUUCCAAACGUUGAGAAAAUGUUACUAUGUGAAGGGAGAGAGCUCAAGCCCGUCCUCGGCGUCAUAGGGCCGGCUUCUGCGGGGGAGAGCGCCUAACAACCUGGGCAGCCCCGUGCGCCUCCGCCGCGCGUGUGCUGAGCGUCAUGCCCAGGGGUCUUCGGUGCCCGCGCACGGGCAGACUCUGACGAUGGUGGUUCUUAAUUCAGCAUCAGGAGUGUUAACGUGUGAAGACGUGAUUCCGCUUGGAGUGUCUUGAGGACGGCCCCAAUCGGUAGUUCAUAUUUAGCUUUACAGAUAGGAGUCAAUAGGAUUGUAAACUUCUGGAAAGCCGUAGUUUUAACAACGAGCCUUUUUUCCUCCCCCAGAGGCCUUUCUUUGUUUGGCAUCUGCAGAGACGGUGAAAAGCAGAGCUCCAGGUUGAAGGAUCAGAGUAAUAGAUGGAGCCCUUAACAUGAGUAAGAGUGGGUGCAGGCAGGGCCUGAGUGGUCACUAGAAAUGAGAAAGCACAGUUGGUGCCAUCACAUACAUUCACCUCCUGCUUUAUUCUGAAGUUCAAGUAUGAGAAUACGUGUUGACAUACAAGCCAGCUAUGGUAAGAAAUUACUCAAAAUUCAGAAUGCUAAUUAUUUUAAUGAUAAAAAUGAGUAGCGUCUUUGCCCGUGUGAUUUGGGGCCACUAGGUGUCAUUGUAACCAGCGUGGAUCCUCGUUAGGGCAUGCAGGGAUGAAAGAGACAUGGCAAAUGAAUUUUGGAUCGCUAGGAUUUAGGAAUCUUUGUUAUUGGCUGAGCUGAGGAUGAUUUAAAGUUAUCCCUGUCUGAAAUGGUAUCUUUUGUGAGGAGGUCUGACUUGCUGAGGCUCAGCUGUUUAAUACAAAUCUGGAGAAUAAACCUUAAGGUGGUUUCUGUUAGAAUGAAGCCUGUUAUCCUUCUCUUUUAGAUUAAAGGUGGUGGCUGUGGCCUUGAAAACAGUCAUGUGAAAACUCAUCACCUUAAGGUGUUAAGUGUAAGGAUCUUCAUGAUGAAAUUUCUGUAAAUGGUGAGAUUUUUAGUACUUUCAUAGACUUGAAUAUGCUUAUGGUCCUCUUUAAGUAUUGGUUUGUUAGUUUUGGGGAUGUGUUGGUCUUCCAGGGUUACGAUUGCCCAGAUAAUGGAAGUAGUAUGGAAUUCCUUUUGAUAGGGUCCUUGCCAAGCACUCUCAUAAAGAGCAUUUUUUGUUUGUUUGUUUUGAGACAGAGUUUUGCUCUUGUUGCCCAGGCUGGAGUGCGAUGGUGCGAUCUUGGCUCAGCGCAACCUCUGCCUCCUGGGUUCAAGCUAGUCUCCUGCCUCAGCCUCCCAAGUAGCUGGGAUUACAGGCAUGCACCACCACGCCUAGCUAAUUUUGUGUUUUUAGUAGAGACGGGGUUUCUCCAUGUUGGUCAGGCUGGUCUUGAACUCCCGACUUAAGGUGAUCUGUGCUGGGAUUACAGGCGUGAGCCACCUUGCCUGGCCAUAAAUAGUAUUUCUAAUAUCAACCCCAUAUGAGGUAAAUUUUUUUCCCCACUCUGCUGCUGAGUAAGUAAAAGUGAGGCGUAAAGAGUUCUUUUGCCCAAAGUUAUACAAGCAGUUACUGAGUUAGACUGGCAGUUCUGAACUGGGGAGCGAUGGUGUUCCUGGCAUCUGGUGAAUGCUACUAUUAAUAAAUACCCUGGCUGGGCCUGGAUAUUUAUCUCAUGCCUGUAAUCCCAGCACUUUGGGAGGCCGAAGCAGAUGGAUCACCUGAGGUCAGGAGUUCGAGUUCGAGACCAGCCUGGCCAACAUGGUGAAACCUUGUCUCUACUAAAAAUACAAAAAUUAGCUGGGUGUGGUGGCGGGCACCUGUAAUCCUAGCUACUUGGGAGACUAAGGCAGGAGAAUCUCUUGAACCCAGGAGGCAGAGGUUUGCAGUGAGCUGAGAUGGCACCAUUGUACUCCAGUCUAGGCGACAAGAGCGAAACUCUGUAAAUAAAUAAAUAAAUAAAUAUCCUACAAUGCAUACAACAGCCUGCAUGAGGAAUAAUUGAUCCACCCAGUAUGUCAGUAGAGCUGAGGUUGAGAAACUCCUGUAUACCACACGUUAGGCUAACUAGAGAUCUGAGCUCUAGUCUCAGCCUAUUUUCUCACCAGAGUCUUGUUUCUUCAUUUGUGAAACAGGGUUAGUGAUUUCCAAACUUGAUUAUUACAUCAGAGCCACCUACAAAGUGUUAAAAUAUACACAUUCCUGGGCCUCACCUCCAGGCAUGGGUGAGAAUGGCUCUGGAGUGGAGUCCAGGAAUCAUGUGGCCAGUCCAAGAGCAAGUGGGUAGUAACUAGAUCAGGGGUGUCAAUCUUUUGGCUUCCCUGUGCCACAUUGGAAGAAUUGUCUUGGGUCACACAUAAAAUAAACUAACACUAAUGAUAGCUGAUGAGCUAAAAAAAAAAAAUCUCAUAAUAUUUUGAGAAAGUUUACAAAUUUGUUGGGCUGCAUUCAAAGCCGUCCUAAAGUUUACAAAUUUGUGUUGGGCUGCAUUCAAAGCCGUCCUGAGCCACAUGCAGGCUGUGGGUUAGACAAGCUUGAAGUAGAUGAUCUGAUCUGUUUUUAGUGCAAGGAUUUUAUUAUAGUGAGAUUAUAGUGCUGGCUAUUUUUAAGUAGCUCUUGGGCAAAUCUCUAAUCCUCUGUCUUAAAAAACUGAAAGCCUGGAGGGCACGGUGGCUGACACCUGUAAUCCCAGCACUUGGGGAGGCCGAGGCAGGUGGAUCAUCUGAGGUCGGGAGUUCGAGACCAGCCUGACCAACAUGGAGAAACUCCGUCUCUACUAAAAAUACAAAAUUAGCCUGGCGUGGUGGCGCAUGCUUGUAAUCCCAACUUACUUGGGAGUCUGAGGCAGGAGAAUCACUUGAACCCGGGAGGUGGAGGUUGCAGUGAGCCGAGAUCGCGUCAUUGCACUCCAGCCUGGGCAACAAGAGUGAAACUACUUUUCAAAAAAAGAAAGUCACAUGCUUGCUCCACAAAGAAUUUGCGUGAGGGAAGUGAACAAUUUGAUGAGAAAAAAAUAGUUUGCGUGUGCUGUGGCUGUUAGUGCUAUGGUCCAGCAGGUUGGUGGGAGCUGAGUCCAUGAUGAUUUCAAGUUAUCCCUGUCUGAAGGCAAAGAAAGGCCUUUCUGUGUGGAAUUUGAAUAUCUGAAACUCAGUUUCCCAAGUUUGCCUUACAGAAAUUUUAAGUUACUUGAGAGUUACUCUGUGUGUAUCUUCUUAAGUAGUUUUUUUUCUUAAUUUCUCUUCCCAGGUGCAGUCAGCCUCAGUUUCCAAAGCCGGAAAAGGAUCCUCUAGUAGCCACGGUGUGGCAGCUGCUCUGAACCAGGACCUGGACCCGGACCCAAAGUGCCAUGUCUUUAAUGUUAGCUCCCAGCGAUGCCAGAUGGGAUCAGCACAGCCCUGCCUCUGCUGCUAAUUGUUCCUCUAAAGUAAUCGCCAUGCGUUCUUUGGGCUUCAUCUUUAAAGGAAUGAAGCAACUGAGAUUAUUCUGGAAAACCUUUUGGCAGUUAGUGAAAUUAGAGUACAACUAAGAACAUUUUCAGACCUCCACUGUGGAUGACCUGGGUAUAAUCUCACAAAUCGAUGGGACUGCAAGGAUUGUAAACUGAAAUGAACAUGAUUAUACUCUGUUGGAAGAGCCUAAGAGGAAACUGAUGCCAUGAGUUUCAGAGAGUAAUGCUUAACCCCAGUUACACAGGAUGCCGUCUUGUGUUUCCUCUUGUUUAGUUACCCACUACAGUGAUUUUGUGAUCUGCUAAUGGGUUGCCACCCACAACCAUUGCUUUAGCACUUUUACUUCAAAUCAAUGAAGGAUUGAUAAAAGUUCUCCUGGUGUCUCCGCAGAGUGCCUUCCAGGAACAGAUCUUUGCAUAGAAUAUCAGUGGUUUCCUUUUUUGUUUCAAAUAGUGGUCAGAAAAUACCCAGUGUUGACUCACCAAGGCAAUCAGCUUCCUUUUUCCCUUUUUUUGUUUUUUUUUUAACAUUUUAUAUUUUUGCUUUAUUUUAUUUUAUUUUAUUUUAUUUUAUUUUAUUUUAUUUUAUUUUUUGAGACGGAGUUCCACUCUGUCGCCAGGCUGGAGUGAAGUGGUACAAUCUUGGCUCACUGCAACCUCCACCUCCCGGGUUCAAGCAAUUCUCCUGGCUCAGCCUCCUGAGUGCUGGGACUACAGGCGCGUACCUUCUUUAGUAGAGACUGGGUUUCACCAUGUUGGCCAGGAUGGUCUCUAUCUCCUGACCUUGUGAUCUGCCUGCCUCAGCUUCCCAAAGUGCUGAGAUGACAGGUGUGAGCCAUCAGACCCAGCAUUUUUUUUUUUAAUUUAAAUUUAAAUUUUUUUUCAUUUUUUUGAGAGGUUUUUUUUGUUUUGUUUUGUUGUUGUUGUUGUUGUUGUUUUUGAGACAGUCUUGCUCUGUCACCCAGGCUGGGAGUGCAGUGGCAUGAUCUCUGCAACCUCUACCUCCCAGGUUCAAGCAAUUCUUGUGCCUCAGCCUCCCAAGUAACUGGGACUACAGGUGCACGCUACCACACCUGGCUGAUUUUUUUUGUUUUAGUAGAGACAGGGUUUCAACCAUGUUGCCCAGGUUGGUCUCAAACUCCUGAGCUCAGGCAAUCCACCCGCCUUGGCCUCCCAAAGUGCUAGGAUUACAGGUGUGAGCCACCACACCCAGCUAUUUUUUCUUUCGUUUUUUAAUUUUAAAGUUGGGGGGGGGUCUCAAUUUGUUACCCUGGCUGGUCUCGAACUCCCGGACUUAAGCGAUCCUCUGGCUCCAAGCCCACUACCAGUCUCAGGUUUCUUUACUAAAAGAUCACUACCUUUUUUUCUCUUAUCUGCUGCCAUGUGAGAUGUGGCUUUCACCUUCCGCCAUGAUUGUGAGGCCUUCCCAGCCAUGUAGAACUGUAAGUCCAAUAAACCUCUUUUGUAAAUUAAAAAAAAAAAAUCACUAUUUAAGAUACUAGGAUGGAUUGUGACUGUUGAGGAGUACUUACAUAUCCUACAUUUGACUACAUUAUUUCCAAACCAAGUAUUCCAUCCAAAGGAACAUACUGCUAUCAUAGAGACCAAGGAGGGACUGUUUAAGGUUGCCAAGGUGAAGCGAGCUGAGAGGCUUUGUCCUCGUGCCAGUAACUCUGAAAUCUCUCUUAAUUCCUGCUGUCCAGGCAGCAGAAUGCCAUGGUUUCCCCAAGUAGGUAGCUGCUUUAGCAGUUAAAGCCCAAAUGUCUGUUCUGUUGAUCAGAGGUCUCUGAAUUUCUGAAGUGGUGUUUCGUUUCUGGUGACUGAGUUAAUCCUUUACAAUCCCUCUUGUAAAGUGUGCUAAUAGAAAGAAUCCACCUUUCAAAGCUGCAGAACCAGACCGUGCCCUAAAUUGACCAACGUAACUGAUGUGCCUCAGGAAGUCUCUUGCCAGCUGUCCCUGUGAAGACCCCCCUCCUCCCCCCCAGCUGCUGCCUUGCACACUGAAGCAUCUCAGACUGUGCAAAGCCGUGUAGUCAUCAAGACAGUAAAUCCCAGGGCUUGGUUAAGUGCUGUGUGAUAACUUGUUUGGAUGAGACUUAACUUAAAACCACUUACAAUAAACUUGGGAAACUACCGUCAGCUGAGUUCAAAUUUACUGACGCCAUGAUAUGAGGAUGAAGGUUUAUUACCUGGUGACAUCAUCCUGUUGGUGACAAGGUGGUGAUACAUCUCUAAUGGGACUUCCCUCAGUGGCAGGCAGGCUGCCAAGCAACUAACCCCCAUCAAGUGCCAGACCCUCCCAGUGUUCUGAGAGUCAUCUCCAUGCUAAACAGCCUGCGUUUUAUAUGAUUUCUCUACCCAGCCAAAAAAAAAAAAAUGGUCCAUCAUGUACGCAGUUAUCUAGUCUUAAGUUAUAUUCUGGCUUUUUUCUCCCACUUUAUUAUGGAGCAGAAGUAAGCCUAUCAUGUUCUUAGAAAGGCUCUUAAGAGGUGUCCUGGAGUCCUUGAAUCACUUUAGCAUCUGGGGUAGGAUGUGCCACCAGGAGGAUUUGGGCUGGAGCGUGUGUGUUUGCCUUUGACCUGGACUGCUGUCUGAUCUUGCUGAACACUCCACCGACAUUUCCUAAAGUUGCUCAGUGCCAAUCCAGCAAAGCAGUCCAUUUUCCCUUGGCCAAGAUUGAGAUGUAUUGUUUUAGAUACAGAAGAGUUCUUGGAUGAGCCAAGGACAAGCUGGGGUGUCCUAUAUUGAACAGACCUCGAUGAAAAUCUUGAAUUCACCCCAGUGCCCUCUGUUGGCAAGGGAAGGUGAAGAUUGAAAAGUUAAAAAAGCUUUUGGCCACUUGAGAGGAUCAGGGCCGCAACUCUUGAAGAAGCAAAGGGCUCAGUGCAUUGGGGUCAGCGCUGGUACAGCUGAAGGAUGCCGGCCUUGUGCAGGUCCCUCCACAGGGCAGCUUCCAGGGACAGAUCGUGGUUUGCAUAAAAUAUCAAUGGCUUCAUUUUUCGUUCGAAAUAGUGGUCGGAAAAUUUCCAGUAGUUGCUUGUGAUGAAUCCAUAGGCACUGACCUGGGCAAGGAUAGUCGCUGGAUUAGUAUUUGUUGAGCGUCUAGUGUGUACAGACACUUGGGUGAAGUGACAUGAGUUUAGAAAGGUGUCCGUCUGCUGAGGUGAGGAUAAUGGUCUAGGGCUUAUUCCCACUUAGCAAGUGGGGAGAUGGAUUCAGGGGUGACUCACUGUGUCCCCACUUGGCAUAGCUGGUGAUUGCCAGAGCUGGAUUUGGAACUCAAGGGUGGAGGCAAAAGCCCAUUACUACUCUCUCCAUCCUAACUGGGGACUGCAGUCAAGACACUCCUGCAUCAGAAUAGGAAAAGGCCCUGUGUGGUGGCUCACGCCUGUAAUCCCAACACUGGGAAGCUGAGGUGGGAGGAUCACUUGAGCUUGGAAGUUUGAGACCAGCCUGGGCAACAUGGUAAGACCCUGUCUCUACAAAAAGUAAAAAAAAAAAAAAAGAGCUGGGCGUGGCAGUACAUGCCUGUGAUCCCAGCUACCCAGCUACUUGGGAAGCUGAGGCAGGAGGAUCAUCACACCACUGCACUUAAGCCUGGGUGACAGAGUUGAGACCCUGUCUCAAAAAAGAGGGAAAAGAUUUAGGUGUGAGUCGUGGAGAGGCAUUUGGCCCCCAGCUCUCCAUACCAGCUUUAGCAUGGGUCACGGCCUCUCCUUGAAAGCUGCUGCUUGGCCCCUGCCUCCAUGAGCUUCACGUGGGUCAUAUCCCAUCAGGAAUGACUCUUAACGGUGAUUUCAAAGUAGUUGCAUGUGGGAGGCUAAACCUGCUGCCCUACCCCAGCUCUAGGAUGUCCCCAUAAAAGAAUGUCCCUAUUUGGCCCAGUAUGUUGAGGACUUUGGCUUUCACAAGGGCAGUUUGAUGAUUUGAGCCUUAAAUACCAUACUGAGUGGCUGCCUUGGAGAAGAGUGAAAGAAGGAAGCCUGGGGCAGGUGUCAGGAGCCAAGGCAAGCCUGAGGCAGGUGUCCGGAGCCAAGGCAAGGCUGGCCCAGGACCUGUCCUUCAAAGGCCCCAGGGUUGUGGGCAAGGAAGUGAGCAGUACCAGCAGCACUCUUGGAACUGGGGAUUCCACGAACAGAGGCCAAGAGUCCCAGCUCCGAGGUAAGGGAUAUCAGGGGAUCCUGUUGGGUUCUGUUAUCCUGUGUUCUGCCGGCAUGGGCUUCUGGAAGAGAAGGCCUCUUACCUGGUCACAGGUAUGCAAAGCUGUCAGCAGCAUGAGAGCCCCGGUACUAGGCAUAUAUAGGUCUCCAAAAUGUGUGUUAAUCAACUUUGAUUUCAAGAACCUGGAAGCAAAAAGAGACAUUUCAGCUCACUAGCUUGAUGGCUAUCAUCACACUUCACAACUACACAUUCAAAUAGGUGGGAAAACUUCAAAAACUGAGGGCCUUCUACUCCAGUCAGUUCUUUAUUCGGUCCAAGUGGACUAAAUACAAAGAUCUUUGAGACCUUAGGUAAGGUUGGGGGAGGGGGUGGUGAGAAAGGAACCACAGGUUCCCCCUUUUGGCAACAGCUUGUUUUCACCCCAAGCUACUAAGUAACCACACUGCCAAGGGCAUAGGUGGCCUGUUUAUUUAGCCUGAGACUGCAGUUUCUCUCUACUCCACAUCUUGAUUAAGUAGGAAUCACGUGUGAGGGACAGGGAGCUCAGACCCUGUGACCGGACCCACACAGUCCAAGAGUGAGGCCAGGGUGUGACCACGGGCUCUGCCCUCAGGCCUGAGUUCACAUCGAGCUGUGCCAGGCCGAUCACCUGACCUCUCAGAGCCUGUCUUCCUCUGUAGCACGGGACUAAUUAGAGGGGCUUCAUUUGCCUCCCCACAUCCACACACCCCUCUCCAACUGCUCCCUGCCCUGGGAUUCGAGCCUCUGGUCCACAGCAGGGUUUCUCAGUCUCAGUGCUGUUGACACUUGGGGCCAGGUGCUUCUUGUGAUGUUCAGCAGCAUCCCUGGCCUCUACCCACUGAUGGCACUUGCCGCCACCACCCUUGUGACAACCCCAGACGAGGACCAUAUGCACAUCCACAUUGAGAACCCCUGGCAGGAGGGAGGGAAGGGGGUUGAGGCUGGUCCCCGGGUUCCUUCCGGCACCUUGUGUUGGCUGUGUUUGGGCCUGAAGGUUCUGAUGCCCUGCUGCUGACGGCGCCACUGCUGCUGUGCACCUUAUGGUCCCAGCUCCCAGUCUGUGCCUUUGUAUAAACCUCCUUGAGUUAUCCUGAGUUUCCUGUCCAUUUCCUGGUGACUGACAUAUAUCACCCUCCCUCUAUCAAGGUGCUAAAUAAAACAGUAAAUGAAGUGACAGUGCUUUGCACACAGCACUCGGGACAGUGGAGCUCUGGUUAUCGGUCAGUGCGUGGGGCUCGUGCGAGGGCGCUGACUGGAUGUGGGUGGGUGUGUAAAAGGGGGAAGGAAGGGGACGCUGUUCUUCAGGCACCCCACUCCGUACCUUUCUGUCAGGUAGCUGAUGAAGUCCGGAUGUAGCAGCUUGAAUUUACUGGCAGAGGCUUCUGGUCCAAAAUAGGCGUGCGGCCUAGGACCCAUGAUAGAAGUGGACAGAGCGCCCAGAGCCGUCGUAUUGCAAGGGGGAGAUGGAGGGGAGGGUCAGGGCGCCGGAGUAGCCGCGGUACCCUGAGCGGUAGGAGCGGGGCUGGGAGUAGUAGCGGGAGAAGGGGGUGUAGAAGGUGGCAGGCAGUACGUUGGGGACCACGUGCGGCUUCCCGCUCACCAGGACCUCCACGGGCGGGG
This 10062-nucleotide long non-coding RNA is filed under the name Homo sapiens (human). Its description in RNAcentral is "HSALNT0391752". The stretch from base 1562 to 1639 matches the Rfam family "Small nucleolar RNA R38". The record is from RNAcentral. Lineage: Eukaryota; Metazoa; Chordata; Mammalia; Primates; Hominidae.